GCGGGCAUGGUGAAGUGGUAUCACAGAUGCUUCCCAAGCAUCUAUCACGGGUUCGAGUCCCGUUGCCCGCU
RNAcentral lists this transfer RNA (71 nucleotides) under Chloroflexota bacterium. Its description in RNAcentral is "Chloroflexi bacterium tRNA-Gly". It matches the Rfam family "tRNA". From Rfam's summary of the family: Transfer RNA (tRNA) molecules are approximately 80 nucleotides in length. Their secondary structure includes four short double-helical elements and three loops (D, anti-codon, and T loops). Further hydrogen bonds mediate the characteristic L-shaped molecular structure. tRNAs have two regions of fundamental functional importance: the anti-codon, which is responsible for specific mRNA codon recognition, and the 3' end, to which the tRNAs corresponding amino acid is attached (by aminoacyl-tRNA synthetases). tRNAs cope with the degeneracy of the genetic code in two manners: having more than one tRNA (with a specific anti-codon) for a particular amino acid; and 'wobble' base-pairing, i.e. permitting non-standard base-pairing at the 3rd anti-codon position. The record is from RNAcentral. RNAcentral also lists the same sequence under 1 other name. Lineage: Bacteria; Bacillati; Chloroflexota.